AUUAUUUGUUUACCACUUAGAACACAGCUGUCAGCGCCAUCUUGUAACGGCGAAUGUGGGCGCGGCUCCCAACAAGAGAUUUACAUAAUUUGAAGUUACAAACAUACAGCUGUCACGAUGUGCGAUACUGGACUCCACUGUGCUCCCUUUAUUAUGGUGGAACAAGACCUCCCAACUAUCCCAGAUUCUCUCGUCAGGACUGAGGUGGAGGAGAGGAGGCUGGACCGGGCAGGAGGAGGCAGUGCCAAGGACCGGCCCCAAGUGUGCAGUCGACACAAAGUAAGGAGGGUUACUCAAGAUGUGGGGUCCAGAGGAUGAUUAAUUGUG
Long non-coding RNA from Mus musculus (house mouse), 327 nucleotides. RefSeq annotates it as predicted gene, 29709. NCBI's taxonomy places the organism in Eukaryota, Metazoa, Chordata, Mammalia, Rodentia, Muridae. The transcript has 3 exons. The record is from RefSeq and is a predicted model, not a curated record.